Molecule: ribosomal RNA, 492 nt
Filed under: uncultured bacterium
Lineage: Bacteria
Description: partial 16S ribosomal RNA
Rfam family: Bacterial small subunit ribosomal RNA
Source: RNAcentral
AGUGAACGCUGGCGGUAGGCCUAACACAUGCAAGUCGGACGGCAGCACAGUAAGAGCUUGCUCUUACGGGUGGCGAGUGGCGGACGGGUGAGGAAUACAUCGGAAUCUACUUUUUCGUGGGGGAUAACGUAGGGAAACUUACGCUAAUACCGCAUACGACUUACGGGUGAAAGCAGGGGAUCUUCGGACCUUGCGCGAUUGAAUGAGCCGAUGUCGGAUUAGCUAGUUGGCGGGGUAAAGGCCCACCAAGGCGACGAUCCGUAGCUGGUCUGAGAGGAUGAUCAGCCACACUGGAACUGAGACACGGUCCAGACUCCUACGGGAGGCAGCAGUGGGGAAUAUUGGACAAUGGGCGCAAGCCUGAUCCAGCCAUACCGCGUGGGUGAAGAAGGCCUUCGGGUUGUAAAGCCCUUUUGUUGGGAAAGAAAAGCAGCAGGUUAAUACCCCACUGUUCUGACGGUACCCAAAGAAUAAGCACCGGCUAACUUCGUG